AUACGGAGGGCGCAAGCGUUGCUCGGAAUCACUGGGCGUAAAGCGGGUGUAGGCGGUCUAGCAAGUCAGAUGUGAAAGCCCACGGCUCAACCGUGGAAGUGCAUCUGAAACUGCUAGACUUGAGUGCCGGAGAGGGAAGUGGAAUUCCUGGUGUAGGGGUGAAAUCCGUAGAUAUCAGGAGGAACACCGGUGGCGAAGGCGACUUCCUGGACGGCCACUGACGCUGAGACCCGAAAGCGUGGGGAGCAAACAGGAUUAGAAACCCUAGUAGUCC
This 274-nucleotide ribosomal RNA is filed under the name uncultured bacterium. RNAcentral's name for it is "partial 16S ribosomal RNA". It matches the Rfam family "Bacterial small subunit ribosomal RNA", at positions 523 to 796 of the family's 1533-position model. The record is from RNAcentral.